RNAcentral lists this transfer RNA (73 nucleotides) under Danio rerio (zebrafish). It matches the Rfam family "tRNA". Rfam says of the family: Transfer RNA (tRNA) molecules are approximately 80 nucleotides in length. Their secondary structure includes four short double-helical elements and three loops (D, anti-codon, and T loops). The record is from Rfam by way of RNAcentral. Lineage: Eukaryota; Metazoa; Chordata; Actinopteri; Cypriniformes; Danionidae.
ACCUGGCUAGCUCAGUCGGUAGAGGAUGAGACUCUUAAUCUCAGCGUCGUGGGUUAGAGCACCACGUUGGGCG